RNAcentral lists this long non-coding RNA (283 nucleotides) under Phoenix dactylifera (date palm). RNAcentral's name for it is "long non-coding RNA (PDAC_LNC015977)". Lineage: Eukaryota; Viridiplantae; Streptophyta; Magnoliopsida; Arecales; Arecaceae. The record is from RNAcentral.
UCCAGAGGGAGGCUUGGACUUGGGAGUCCUGACCUCGAAGGGGAAGUCCGCUUGUGGGAGGCUCCGGUUGAACUGGAGCCGGAGGAGGCGGUGCCGUUGGGAUGCCUCUGGGCUGCAGGCUUUGGACAGCGGUAGCCAGGGCCUGCACCUGUUGUACCAGGGCAUCGAACUGCUCCGGCCGAACUUGAUGAACUGACUCGGUCGGAGGUGAUGAGUUUCGGACGGAACGCUCCGGGCUAGGUGGAGGACGUCGAGAGGCAUUGGAAGCCCCUUUGCUUCUUAG